Long non-coding RNA from Salvia miltiorrhiza (redroot sage), 1308 nucleotides. RefSeq lists it as uncharacterized. NCBI's taxonomy places the organism in Eukaryota, Viridiplantae, Streptophyta, Magnoliopsida, Lamiales, Lamiaceae. The transcript is spliced from 2 exons. The record is from RefSeq and is a predicted model, not a curated record.
GAUUUUCUCUCUAAUUUACAUGCGAUAAGGGCUCGUUCGUCAUUUUGUUUGCAGAGAGAAACUAGAUUAACAAUCAAAUCCCUUAGAUUUCGAGCUUUCCACAACAAAUGGCGAUUCGAUUUAGUAAAUUUUUCCAUAUUCUGCACACAAUAUCUUAUCUCGCUUGGCACUAUACUGGUUUUGGGAUUUGGGGUUCGUUGAUUGUUUUUUCCUUUCGAUUGUUUUGGGUUCAAUUUGUUAAUCUUGUUAUUCACCAAUUCGUCAGCUGUUGUGUUUUACUUUCAUCUGGUAAAAUUCGUCCAACUUUUCCUGUAAAUUGUUCUUUAAAUUCUUUUAGUGUUUUAAUGACUUUACCUUAUAGCGUGCAAAUAAUUAGUAGUCGUUGAUUUGUAAGUGGUGUUUCUUUGAACGGUUUUUUUUUCUUAGGUAUAUGCAUAUUUAAAGAUUUGGUAUAUUGUUCUUCAGAUUGUGUGUAUUUUCUUUGUAAUAAUUGUUAAAAAGUCUAUUGUGUUGUUGAUGAUGAACUAUUAUCUGUUCGUUUAUGAACAUAACUCCUAGUUUAGUGAACCUGAGUUUCCAUGUGUUUAUUGGUAUGAAUUCUUUGCUCUAGGGAUAUGGGUUUUUAAGAUUUCAGUCUACAAGAUUUUAAUAGUUGAGAAACUUAUUGUGUGUGUGUUAGUUGUUAUGUUUGAUAAUGCAACAAUAUGGUUUAUAUUGUUUCGUAUUGUAAUUAAUUUAGCUUGUAUGAUAUUAAAAAUUAAAAAUUUUGGGUUUUAUAUGAAUUUAUUUAUUUAUGAACAGGUGCAAAUACAAGGACAGGGUGAGCACGGGGCAUUAAGCACAUUAGACUAGAACAUAUGUCAAUGACUCUAUAUUGAAUGUUUUAUAUGUUCAUAUUGUAUUUUACAUAUUUGGAGUUUGUGGUUGUUUGAGCAUUCUACUAAUGUUUUUUUAUAACAUUUAAGGUUGUUCGAGAAGGUGUCCAAGUUCGUAGAAACCAUUCAAAGAUUCAGAUGCUGAAAAUCUCAAAAUUCCGAACUACCGAUCGACAUUCAACUGGAAAUUUGCACUAGGAAGCCGCUUUCAAAGCAGGAGAAGGAAAUUGGCAUAUACGAAGCUGCGACAUGGCUGAGGAACCUGAUUGGAGUAGUGGCGGCAAAAGGUUUUCCAGCCGAGCCUUUCGAGAAGGUGUCGAAGCUCGAUUAUGUUCAGAGAAUUGUUGAAUUGUCUGUGUAUUCUAAUUGGAUUUUUGAUACAAGUUUUUUUUACUCCAAAUAUUCUAAUAAAUUGUACUCUCCAUUUUUGUUA